GAGACCUCAGGUCAGGCGGGGCUACCCGCUGAGUUUAAGCAUA
This 43-nucleotide ribosomal RNA is filed under the name Dillwynia phylicoides. Its description in RNAcentral is "partial 26S ribosomal RNA". Lineage: Eukaryota; Viridiplantae; Streptophyta; Magnoliopsida; Fabales; Fabaceae. The record is from RNAcentral.